GAUACCGCCCUAGUUCUAACCGUAAACUAUGCCAGCUAGCGAUCCGCCGACGAUCCCUCCGUUAUGGCUCGGCGGGCCGCUUCCGGGAAACCAAAGCUAACGGGUUCCGGGGGAAGUAUGGUUGCAAAACUGGAACUUAAAGGAAUUGACGGAAGGGCACCACCAGGAGUGGAGCCUGCGGCUUAAUUUGACUCAACACGGGAAACCUCACCAGGCCCGGACACCGGAAGGAUUGACAGAUUGAGAGUUCUUUCUCGAUUCGGUGGGUGGUGGUGCAUGGCCGUUCUUAGUUGGUGGAGUGAUUUGUCUGGUUAAUUCCGAUAACGAACGAGACCCCGUCCUGCUAGUUAGGCGAUCCGAGCGCCUCUCGUUCGGCGGGCGGAUCACUUCGGUGUCCCCGUUCGUCGACGGGGGGCUCUUCAAGCUCGGGACCCGGUAUCGUGAUCCGUACUCCGUCCGCUCGCUCUCGGGCGAGUGAGACCCCGGCGGGGCGGCGGUUCUGGCGGUUCGCGCCGUUCGGGGCCGUCGUUUACCGUCGGGAGCAGUGAGUCGGAGCGCCCGGUCCUCUCUCGGGGGGGCCGGACACGCUCGCUACCGGCGGGAUCUAAAGUUGCUUCUUAGAGGGACAAACGGCGCAGUCAGCCGUGCGAUACGGAGCGAUAACAGGUCUGUGAUGCCCUUAGAUGUCCUGGGCGGCACGCGUGCUACAAUGGACGGAUCAGCGUGUUCUACCCUAGGUCGAGAGACAUCGGUAACCCCCUGAAUCCCGUCCGUGGAAGGGACCGGGGCUUGCAAUUGUUCCCCGCGAACGAGGAAUUCCCAGUAGUCGCGAGUCAUAACCUCGCGGCGAUUAAGUCCCUGCCCUUUGUACACACCGCCCGUCGCUACUACCGAUCGAAAGGUUCGGCGAGGACCUCCUACCGGCUCGCCGGCGAUCCGCUCCGUGCGGGGCCGCCGGUGCAGCAUGCGUUUUUGUGACGCGGAAAGUCGACCGAGCCCGAUUUUUUAGAGGAAGUAAAAGUCGUAACAAGGUUUCCGUAGGUGAACCUGCGGAAGGA
Molecule: ribosomal RNA, 1058 nt
Filed under: Aleurodicus dugesii (Doogie Howzer whitefly)
Lineage: Eukaryota; Metazoa; Arthropoda; Insecta; Hemiptera; Aleyrodidae
Description: bacterial SSU rRNA
Rfam family: Eukaryotic small subunit ribosomal RNA
Source: RNAcentral